UUUGGGGACUCCUGUUUUAUAGUUGAGUUGUGCCAUGUAUUUUUGUAAUAUAUCACUAGUCGUUGCUCGGGCGACGGUGGUGGUAAUUUUAAGUGGAUGCAUCAUUACAAGUUUUAAUUGCAUCAUUAUAUAGAAUUGUCACCAUUGUUGCUGAGUAAUGAUGGUAUAUAUUAAAACUAUUUAUAAAUCAUUAUAAAUAAAAACUUGUACCUGCAUGUUAUAGUUUUUAUGAGAAAUGUUAAACAUACUCUCUUUCUAACAAUUAAUUAAUGCUCAUUUUUAAGUUUCAUCCAAUAAAGUGCCUGUUGUUAAGUGUUAG
Molecule: long non-coding RNA, 319 nt
Filed under: Medicago truncatula (barrel medic)
Lineage: Eukaryota; Viridiplantae; Streptophyta; Magnoliopsida; Fabales; Fabaceae
Description: lncRNA gene2496
Source: RNAcentral